RNAcentral lists this ribosomal RNA (119 nucleotides) under Betta splendens (Siamese fighting fish). The record is from RNAcentral. Lineage: Eukaryota; Metazoa; Chordata; Actinopteri; Anabantiformes; Osphronemidae.
GCUUACGGCCAUGACACCCUGAGCAAGCCCGAUCUCGUCUGAUCUCGAAAGCUAAGCAGAGUCGUGCCUGGUUAGUACUUGGAUGGGAGACCGCCUGGGAAUACCAGGUGCUGUAAGCU